This 494-nucleotide ribosomal RNA is filed under the name uncultured bacterium. RNAcentral describes it as "partial 16S ribosomal RNA". It matches the Rfam family "Bacterial small subunit ribosomal RNA", at positions 28 to 507 of the family's 1533-position model. The record is from RNAcentral.
GGCGAACGCUGGCGGCGUGCCUAAUACAUGCAAGUAGAACGCUGAAGGAGGAGCUUGCUUCUCUGGAUGAGUUGCGAACGGGUGAGUAACGCGUAGGUAACCUGCCUGGUAGCGGGGAUAACUAUUGGAAACGAUAGCUAAUACCGCAUAAGAGUAGAUGUUGCAUGACAUUUGCUUAAAAGGUGCAAUUGCAUCACUACCAGAUGGACCUGCGUUGUAUUAGCUAGUUGGUGGGGUAACGGCUCACCAAGGCGACGAUACAUAGCCGACCUGAGAGGGUGAUCGGCCACACUGGGACUGAGACACGGCCCAGACUCCUACGGGAGGCAGCAGUAGGGAAUCUUCGGCAAUGGACGGAAGUCUGACCGAGCAACGCCGCGUGAGUGAAGAAGGUUUUCGGAUCGUAAAGCUCUGUUGUAAGAGAAGAACGAGUGUGAGAGUGGAAAGUUCACACUGUGACGGUAGCUUACCAGAAAGGGACGGCUAACUACGUG